This 4434-nucleotide long non-coding RNA is filed under the name Sus scrofa (pig). RNAcentral describes it as "lncRNA (ENSSSCG00000055682.1, ENSSSCG00130030590.1)". The record is from RNAcentral. Lineage: Eukaryota; Metazoa; Chordata; Mammalia; Artiodactyla; Suidae.
UUGUCUUUCUUUUUUCUUUCUUCAUUUCCUUCCUUCCCUUUCCUCUCCUUCCUUUCUUCCUACCUUCCUUCCUUCCUGACUACCAUGUAUUGCCUCUUUGUUGGGGAAAUAUCAUGUUAAAAAAAUAAAGUAUAGCACCCUCUGCCCCACAAGUGAUCUGCAGACAGAGGUCUCUGGUGUUUUGUUAUAGCUGUGUUUCACCCUGAGUGUCAUAUUGCUGAAGCUGGAUUAAAAGGGACACUGCUGGCAAACAUCUUUGGAAAUGCUAUAAAUAGUAAAUCGGCAAGAUCAGGGAACAAAAGAGAAGCACAGCCAGUGUAAUUAGUUCACUCACUGAGCAAGUGGACUAUUCUGAGGCUGAGGAGUGUGCUCCAGUGGAUGAGAUGAUGGGGGUGGGGAGGAAAGGAGAACCAACUCACUCAGGCUGAGAGAAGGACACUCGUGUGACACCCAAGCCCCCGUCGGCUCCCACAGUCCCCAUCCGAGGGUAUACCCAAUAGCCCACAAAAGGAGUGCGGGGAGGCAGGAGUCCUAGAGCUGAGAUGUGACAGAUGAGAAGGGAAUCCAGGGCCUGACGACAGAAAGUAAACAGAAACACAGGACCCAAGGAGGACGAUGCAGGACACAGGUCAUCAUAGGAAGGAACUGAGAAAUGUUCUCAUCCAUUGUUUUCCAAAUAACAAUGAUCAUAAUAACAUUAGCUACUGUUCACUGAGUGCUUACUACCGUUAAAAGCAGAUUUGGUCCUCCUAAGAAUGCCCUUAGGGUCAGUACUGUUGUAAUCUCCACUUUAUAGAAGAAACUGAGAUGCAGGAAGAUUAGUACAAAGUGACGCCUCUAAUAGCAAACUUUAUAAAGCCAUGGAAUGUUUUUCCUUUUAUCACUCAGAACCCCACUCAUAAAAACAAAUGAAAGCAGAGAGAUGGAGGAAAGGAUCCUGAAGCACAGAAUCCCAACAUCUGGAAUUCUAGAAAACCAUUCCCUGGGCACACACUGAGAACCAGAGAGGGGAACAGCACUGUCCAAGGUCACCAGGGCCAGAUAACAGUGACGCUGGAGCCCACGGGUCUGUUGGAGCCUCCAUACUGCUCCUGAGCACUGUACUUCGUGGAGAAGGGCCUUCUCAUGAAGUUAGUUCACCUCCCCUUAGAACCACCACUGGACUGGACACUUGGUUCUGAGCAUGGUGCAUCUAUUACCACCUUCUGCCUCCCAACUCAUAUGUGAUGUCCUUGAGAGCAGAAAUUGUGCCUGUUUCAUCUUUGUAGUUCCUCACAGACUUAGCCCAGAGACUAGCACACAGCGGCAACUCAGUAAACGAAAUAAAUAAAUGACUGUUUUAAAUGAUGGAAGAAUAAAUGAAUGACUAUAUGAGCCCUUUUAGCCUGUUAUAAAAAGAAACUAACACUGUGGAGAAGACAAAGUAUGUCCAUGCCUCACACCAUCUUUAAUUUUCAAUACCAAAUGAGAAGGACUUUAGCACCUGAAGGAAAGUUUAUUUUCCAAGAACACAUGGCUAGGAAGUGAAAAAGCCAAGAUGGUGCUUAGGUCUUCCAAUUCUUAAAAGUCAACAAUUCUUAAAACAAAUGACAUACUCAGAGUAGUCAAACUCAUAGAAACAGAAAGUAGAACAGUGGUUGCCAGGGGCUGGGGUGGGGCACAGGGGAGCUGCUGUUCAAUGGAUCCAGCGUUUGUUUUGCAAAAUGAAAAGAGCUCUACGGAUGGAUGGUGGUGAUGGUAGCAUAACACCGAAUGAACUUAAUGCCACUGAACUGUAUACUUUAAAACAGCUACAAUGCUAAAUAUUGCAUUAUUUGUAUUUUACCAUAACUAAUUUAAAAAAUCAGAAAAAAAGAAUGGAAAUAGUUAUACGUAUGACUGAUCCACUGCGGUACACCUGGAACUAAUACAACAUUGUAAAUCAACUAUACUCCAACUAAAUUAAAAAAAAACAAACCAGUAGCUAGCAUUUACGAUGCCUUUGCUAUGUGCCAGCACCAUUUUCAAUACUUCACAGCCUUUAAUCAUCACAACAACCUUACAGGGUAAAUACUAUCAUUAUCUCCAUUUGCAAAUGAGAAAACUGAGUUACACAGAGGUGAAGUAUCUCAGCCCAAGUCAACGGCUAGUAACCCAAGAGCCAAACUGAAGACAUCUACUUCCAGUCGUGACGACUGAUGAACAAAGGGAAGAGGGUGUGAGGAGGAAUUUGCUGCCAGAGCAAAGCUGCACAUUAGACAUGUGUACAUAUUGCUGUCAAAAUGUCUCUGUGUUACAUACCUCACCGUCCUUGAUACAUUGGGGCAUCCAAAGAGUGUGUUUUUAUUUCAAUUCACUUCUCAGGCUGAAGAGAUCGGUCUAGUUAAGGGAGGCAUACACACUCAAAGAGCAGUGACUCUGUAUUCAGACAGGACCUGAGUGCAAAUCCUGACACUGGCACUGUUUGCCUACAUGAUAUUUCACAUCUUGCGUGACCUCUCAGAAUCUAUAAAAUAGAUAUUAUAAUGUUUUUGUGAACACAGAUACUAUAAACACUAAUGAGAUAAUAACAUGUAAAAGCAAUGGCCUCCAUGCCUGGCUCAACAAAUAUUAAUUCUCAUUCUCAAAAAAAAAAUAUUGAGGAAUAAAAAUAUCUUGUCCUCAAUUCUUAACACUUAUCUAGUACACUCUUCAGUCUCUGGGUAUGAAGAUGUGCUAACAGUUCUGGGAAGAUUAAUAUUUGUACUACAUUUCAAGAUCUAUGUAGUAAGAGUCCUCCAUCAGUCAAAAUAUGAUCUUAUAAAAGAAAAUCUUUUACUUUUAACCUAAAUCUAUCCUAUUGCUGAUGGCCGAUUGACCUUUUCUGUGCUGAAAGCCCACAUGUAGGUCCUGAGUAUCUUUUUCCUAUGGCCCUUCAUUCUCCAGGUUGAAUAAUUCCAACUCCAUUUAUCCAUCUCCACUUUCUACGGCAUCACUUUAAGCCAUGGUGUUGGUGCAAAUAGUCCUCAGGGCCUGAUUGGGGCUGAAUGGAAUUGUAAGAUUAUACUGAACCCAGAGACUGACCUAAUACAGCCCAUCCUACAGUGCUAUUCAACCUGUCAUCAAUAUAGCUCUAAGAUUCUUUUCUGCUUUUGUUCCUCUCCAUUAUUUCUCUGAUAUAGUAAUAAAUUCCAUUUUCAGUAAAUAUGAAGAAAUGAUUUCAUUGUUUAUAUAUCUUUGUCUAUCAUUUAGCUAUUGAAUACACCGAAUAUAAGACAUCAGGGAGAAUAAAAUUAGAAACACUUGAAUCCUGUCCUCAAGGAGCCUAUAUUCUAGGAGAAACAGACAAGAGCAUACUUAGCUGUUGGAUAGUUACAAGAGCCACAGGAGGGAGAGACCAUGAACUUCUUCCCUUACUGCCUACCAUAUGGUAAGUGCUCAAAGCAUGGUGGCUCUUGGAUUUGUGAAGCCCACAAAAUUGAAACAAAAAAGAUACUUUUGGCUGGAGAUGGUGGAUGCAAGUCAAGAAAAGCUCCAGAAGAAAGGUAACUGACUUGAGGAUGAGCAGUAUUUGCUAUCAGAGACAUAAGAAUGAAAUUCCAGGACUGGCACAGUGAGUACAAAGAUACAGAGUUACAGAGACAAAGGGAUGUAGGGAAAAGAAUCUUUCUUAAGGAACAGAGGGUGGAGAAAAUAAAAGAAAGAAGGAAAAGGGAAGAAGGAUCUUGGGACAAACACAGAACAAAGAACACACCUGCUAACUCACCAAGAGUUCUAUAGAGAGGGUUUUUUCCUCCCUAAAAUAUAAGGAGGUAUUUUUGUGGAACAAUUGCACAAAUAAUUCAUUCACUCAUUCAUUCACUUAUUCAAUAAUAUUUUCUAUGAUUCAGUGCUUGAGCAUAUCAAAGACAAACAGGAAGAUACACUAUCUUUAAUUCACUUAGAAUCUUUUUUUUUUUUUGUCUUUUUAGGGCUGCACCCACAGCAUAUGGAGGUUCCCAGGCUAGAGGUUGAAUUGGAGGUAUAGCUGCCAGCCUACACCACAGCCACAGCAAUGCCAGAUCUGAGCCAUGUCUGUGACCUACACCACAGCUCACAGAAACACCUCGCUCCUUAACCCACUGAGCGAGGCCAGGGAUCGAACCCAAACCUCAUGGUUCCUAGUUGGAUUCCUUUCUGCUGCACCACGAUGGGAACCCCUCACUUAGAAUCUUUAAUGUGAGACAACUAUGGGACAACAAAAGUAACAUUAAUAUCUAUUAUUUAUUGAGUGUUUAUUAUAUUCCAAGUACAAAGAUGCUAACAGCAUACAGUUGGCUCUAUUCAUGUGAGCAAACAAAAGCUUAGAAAUGUUCAGUAACUUUCUCAAGCUCACAGAGCUAGUAUUGAGUUGAGAUUCAAAUUCAAACCCGGAAACUGACUCCUUCACUCUUAAGAUUAUGCCAUCAUGCUGCUAAACAGUAUUAUGCUUAAGAU